RNAcentral lists this ribosomal RNA (220 nucleotides) under uncultured bacterium. RNAcentral's name for it is "partial 16S ribosomal RNA". It matches the Rfam family "Bacterial small subunit ribosomal RNA", at positions 111 to 334 of the family's 1533-position model. The record is from RNAcentral.
UAAUGUAUGGGGAUCUGCCCGAUAGAGGGGGAUAACUACUGGAAACGGUGGCUAAUACCGCAUAAUGCCUACGGACCAAAGCAGGGGCUCUUCGGACCUUGCACUAUCGGAUGAACCCAUAUGGGAUUAGCUAGUAGGUGGGGUAAAGGCUCACCUAGGCGACGAUCUCUAGCUGGUCUGAGAGGAUGAUCAGCCACACUGGGACUGAGACACGGCCCAG